Molecule: ribosomal RNA, 569 nt
Filed under: Tripedalia sp. m YS-2022
Lineage: Eukaryota; Metazoa; Cnidaria; Cubozoa; Carybdeida; Tripedaliidae
Description: partial large subunit ribosomal RNA
Rfam family: Bacterial large subunit ribosomal RNA
Source: RNAcentral
GCUAAUUGACAACUCUAUAAUUAGUGAAGCCUGCCCGCUGACAGUAGAUAACAAUGACUGUUGAAGGGCCGCGGUAACUCUGACCGUGCUAAGGUAGCAUAAUCACUUGCCCUUUAAUUAAGGGCUAGAAUGAAAGGCUUAACGAGCCCCUCCCUGUCUCAGCCGUAAAGUUAGCGAAAUUUCAUGGCCUGUUAAGAUUCAGGCCGCUCUUGGUUAGACGAGAAGACCCCGUUGAGCUUGACUUUGAUCUUUCUUCAUCACUGGCUUGAUAAGCCCAUACUUAUAGAAAGGGAAAAAGUUUGGUUGGGGCGACCCCCCGAACACACGUAACUCGGGGAAGCUAAGGUUAGACUAAAACAGUAAGCUUGACUGAUAGGAUGACAAUCCAGUUAGAUAGCGAUUACUGCUAGGCGUUAGACUCCCACAGGUAAUAGUCUGUGAUUAUGAAUAAAAGUUACCACGGGGAUAACAGGGUAAUCUUUUCUUAGAGUUCUUAUCGAAGAAAAGGUUUGCCACCUCGAUGUUGAAUAAUAGCGUCCUCGAGGUGCAGAAGCUUCGAAGGGUUGGUC